CCUACGGGUGGCAGCAGUGAGGAAUAUUGGGCAAUGGGGGCAACCCUGACCCAGCCAUGCCGCGUGAGUGAAGAAGGUCUUCGGAUUGUAAAGCUCUUUCGGACGUGACGAGGAUGACGGUAGCGUCUAAAGAAGCACCGGCAAACUUCGUGCCAGCAGCCGCGGUAAUACGAAGGGUGCGAGCGUUGUUCGGAAUUACUGGGCGUAAAGGGAGUGUAGGCGGAUAUGUAAGAUAGCGGUGAAAUGCCGGGGCUCAACCCCGGAACUGCCAUUAUGACUAUGUAUCUAGAGUAAUGGAGAGGUAAGCGGAAUUCCUAGUGUAGCGGUGAAAUGCGUAGAUAUUAGGAGGAACACCAGUGGCGGAGGCGGCUUACUGGACGGUAACUGACGCUGAGGCUCGAAAGCGUGGGGAGCAAACAGGAUUAGAUACCCUAGUAGUC
Molecule: ribosomal RNA, 440 nt
Filed under: uncultured bacterium
Lineage: Bacteria
Description: partial 16S ribosomal RNA
Rfam family: Bacterial small subunit ribosomal RNA
Source: RNAcentral